GGCCAGGGUGCUUUGCAGCAGGGUAAACUGAGGGAGAAGGAGGCUCACAUCUUUCUGCACCAUCUCCUCUUCUGCUAUCUGCUCCUCUGGGCUCAAGAACAUGUUACUGCUGACCGCCCUCUGCUACCGAAAGUGGAUCUGACAUGACUGAGCUUCCCUCCCUCUCUGCUGGCUCUAUGUGGGUCUCUCGGGGUUGGGACACUGUAAGGAUGGAGGAUGCUAGGCACGGCCUGCAGGCAGGGACUUGGACGUUUACACACAACGCUUCCUCGCCUCUCCAUGACGACCCCAGACGCGGGCACUGUCGCUCCCCCCCAUCUUACAGGUGAGCACACUGAGGCUCAGCGCGUGUGAGUACCUUCCCCGAGUCACACAGCAAGUUCAUGGACAGGCAGGAAUUCAAACCCAGGCUUGGCUGACCUUAAAGCCAGGGCAUUCACUGCACUGACUCAGCAUUCACAGAAGCUUCUGGACGCAGGGCUUUGUCCUCCCCCUCCUGCACACUGCUGCCCAAGAACAGUGUUUAUAACCCUCCCCUGCUCAGCAACCUUCCAUGGCUCCCCAGCACCCACAGGAAAAAAAUAAACCAAACCCUUUGCAGAGCCCUCCCCACCCCUGACUCCUGACAUCAGCCCUGGAACCCACUGACUCUUCACCAGAGCCAAGCAAAGGGCUCCUUGAGAGCCUGGACUGCACACUGUCUCCUCCAACAGGCCGGCCUACACCCACCGCAGGGCCUUUGUGCAGUGCCCUUCUCUGCCCACCUGCCACCUCCUGGCCCCCCCGCGGCAGCACCCCCAUCACGCCCUCUCGUGUGCGGAUCUCUCCGCCGCUCCUCACUGCCCAGCAUGAUCCUUUCUUUGUGCUGAGCUCUGUUUAAUGUGUGAGGCCUCUGACUAGCCGGUGUGCCUUCGAGGGCAGGGCCACGCCUGUCCUGUUUACAGCUGCGCCCCCGUGCCAGCAUGUGGCCAGGGUUUGGGGACUGCUGAGUGAAGAAGUGUGUGAAUGAGUUCGCAUCUCCCGGGGCUCAGGCAGGGCCAACACAGAUCCCGAGUCCUGGCUGGCCUGAAAGGAACCUCCCCUGGGCCCAACCACCCCCAUUCUGGCCCCAGCCUCUCAGAUCCCGUGCGCUACCCUCCCAGACCUGCCCCAACCGUGUAGACUUCCCCAACCAUGCCCAUACACUCGUGUUCCCCGCCCCCAACCCAGCCAACUCCUGCACAUCCCUCAAGAGCCCCUGCAAGUACUGCGUCCUUUGCUGGGCAGAGCCGAUCACACCCCCUCUGACACCCUGUGGCGUGGACACACCCACUGUGAGGUCCACACGGGCUUGCCUUCACGGACCGCGGCGCCCGCACCCAGCAGGUGCUUGCCACGCCACAAGAGAGCCACCUCCUCUGCGUUCCUUCCCGGCGUGCAGGCCUCCCCGACGGGACUGGAGCGCUGAUGGCAGGGGCUGUUUUACUCACUGAUCACUCACUCUGCAAAGCCAGCUGCUCAGCAGAGAGCCCCCCGUGGCAAGGCACUGAGCCCUCUUGCCACCAGCGAGCACUGGACCGAGGCCUCCAGCCACCGGUGUGAGGGAGCCAUCUUGGCAGCUGGUCCUCCAGCCUCAGUGGAGCCUUCGGCUGAGACCACAGCCCCAGGCACCUCCCUGAUUACAGUCUCAAUGGAGACCUGGAGCCAGAAUCACCCAGCCGAGCCACUCCCCACAGAGACUGUGAGACAAGAACUCUUUGUUGUUUGAAGCUGCAACAUUCUGGGGUGUUUUGUUACACCGCGUGCGAGAGAUAACUCACAUAGCCAGUGAGAGAGAGGCAUGUGAGAUGGCAAUUCCAAACCGAGACCUUCUUUCAAGUAGUCGGGAGGAUGAAAACGCAACUGGAAGGAGAGAGAAGAAGAAAUGUCACUGUAAGCACGGAGCCCGGGGGUGAAUCCGGUGAAUCUGGUGAGUCCACCGGCCGGGAAGGCGCGCUGAGCCGGAGGGGCCGCCCCCAGGAAGGAGACCAGUGAGACAGAAAAUAAAUAAACAAAAGCUUCCCAACUUCGGACAGAGGGUUUGCAACGCGGACGGUCCUCCGUCGGCAGGCCACGCGGCGAGCCUCAGAUGUAUUUGUAAUUGGGCCACGGUUUUCGGCUUCCCGGCUACAUGUGUGUUUGAGGAGGUGCUCGACUUGGUCACAACGUCCAAGCUGCCUGAUCUGACAGCCGUUGGCGCAUGGCUACUGGAAGGGGGAGCCAGCUGUUUGGAAAAAUAGGUCUAACUGCCGCCCCCCCCCCCCCCCCCGGCCAACCAGCAACGUCUUUCCCGGAUCUAAAGCUGCCCGUGGGCCAGUUUCAACCACUGAGGGUGUCCUGGAGAGCGUCGAACCCCCCAUCGUGCGCCUCCAGCUCCACCUGUGGUCCUGCCAGCCACUUGGCCAAUUCACUGGCAGACAGGGCCAGCCCGGAGUUGGGGAGUCCUGCUCUGGCCCCCACUCAGGGGCUGGGCGCGGCAGACUGAGGUUCUGGACCAAUCUGGCCCCGAGCGUCCGACGGAGGAAGAGGCUGGGGCCUCCACCCUGAAGUGCCUGAGGCUGCUGCACCUGGGGCCUCAGGCGGGGCAGGGGGGCAAUGGAGGGCCGGGCAGGUGCCUGCCAGCAGGGGUGCAGCUCCGAGGAAGGGAGCUGUGGACCCGGACUGCUGUCCUCUCCCCUCUCCCAGGCACCCCCAGGAGACCCGUGGCUGCCCCGUGGCCUGGUGGGCAUAGGCCUCCCCCGCCCUCCCUGAGGCUGGCCCAGCCAGACAGGGGUGACCCUGGGGGAGAAGGGCCGGGCCAGCAGCUGAGUCAGCUCCCGCCAGGUCAAGCAGAGAGCUGACCUCCCCACCCAGAGGCGGGAAAACGCCCGUCUCCAACCAGGGCCUGCCCAGCCCAGGCAAGGAGCCCGAGUGCCAUCAGCAGCCCCUGCAACGGUCCCAGGAGGCUGGACGCCAUGCCCCCCGCCCCCACCCGCCUGCAAGGCGCUCCUCUCUGGACUUGCGUUAGUUACAGCGCUGGCUGCUAUUUUAAAUCCCCGGCUUGUUUAGGAAGCCCCGGCAGAGAGGGCUGAGCAGGCUGAGCCCGAGGGGAUGCGGGCUAGGGGGCAGCCCCGGCUGGGGGUCUGGGGCCUGCUGCCAUUUGAACAGGGACCAAUUAAUCCCUGCGGGGGCGUGGGGCAUGUGGCUCGCCCUGUACAGAAGCUGUGUGUGUGUGUGUGUGUGUGUGUCGGGGGCGGGGUGGGGGGCGUUCAGUAGCCUGCAGCUGACCUCCCCAGCAAACGAGCCACAGAGUGGGCUCCUCGUGGGUGACCAGGCUCCGCCCCUCCCCCCCAGCAGGGACAGCUGCAGGCUGCCCCGGCCUCCCCUGGCCUCCCCUGGCCUCCCUGCCUAAAGCAGGGGCUGAGCCACUUGACCUUGGAGGGCUGGUCUACUCCAGGAUUUUACGGUUGGGGGCCUGGUUUUCCCAGCCACCGUGUCUCAGAGCGAGGACAGCCCAGAGGACGUGGAGUGGCCACAAAGGCUUGGCUGUUCUCCCAUGUGCCUCGCUGGGCUGGGGAGGAGAGAGGGGGGCUGCAGUGGGGGCACAGGCGGGGUGGGGGCGGGGCGGGAGGAGGCUGGAAGGAGCCAGGGAGCAGGGAGGACGUUUUGGGAAGACUUCCUGAGGAAAGGGGUGGGGAGAGACCCAGAGACACAGAGAGAGACACGGAAGCACAGAGAGACGUGGAGAGACAGAGACCGAGAGACACAUACUGAGAGAGGAACAGAAGGGAGAGAGACACCCAGAGACAGAGACAAAGAGAACGGGAGAAGGCGCACAGCGCGGCCACGGGAGAAGGCGCGAGAAGGCCGACAUGUGUGUGGUGAGGCUGAAGUUCAAAAAGGAGGGGAAGAGGUGGUUUGACGACCAAAGUCAUUGAAAAAUUUUUGGCUCAGCUGCCCCGAGGCUCCUGGCUGCGGGCCCGGCUCCGCGCUGAACUUAAACAAACCCCUGCAGCAGCCAUCUGCUUGGUUUUAAAAUAAAUCCAACAGUCUGCUGAGCCGGGUGAUCGAGUUUCCAUCUGUGCCUCCGCUCGCUCGCCGGCCUGGAGCCGCGCUUGCCUCUCCCAGCCAAGCCUCCUGGCAACAUGUGGGCCGGUAAUUCCUCCAGGAGCAGGGGAAACCGGACCCCCGCCCGCCCGGGCCUAACUGAAACCGAGUGCUAUUUUUACAGCCACCCACGGCAGAGGGAGGACCGAAGCGCGCUCUGAACACCCAGGCACGGGGCUGUGCUGAGCGGCUUCGGCCCACGGGGUCCCCCCCUCUGCCCUGAGAGAAAGGGCUGAGGGGCCGAGCAGGGGGUGCUGGGCCCCCAGGGACAGGAUGAUGCUCCCGCGUCUGGGCAGCUGCGGCUUCCUGGGGGUGGCGCCCGCCCGGGGCCCACCGGGAGCAGCCCAAAAUAGCAGCGGGGACUCCCCCCCCUUCCCUCAGGCUGGGGUCACCCUGGAAAGUGCUGCCCAUCUGUCCCUAAGUCCAGGAGACCAGGGGAGCCUGCCUUCCCCAGCCCAGGCCGGAAACAAAGAAGGAGAAACACCAGCCCAGCAGGGUUCAGUGACCCCAUCUGCGCAAUGGGCAUAAAGCAGCCCUCCUGGUGGUGUCGGGGGAGCAAAGAUGGGGGCCCACGAUCCUGGAGCUGCAGCUGGCACAUGGGGCCUUUAUACGCGAUUUUAGGAAACACAGAAAGGAGAGAAAGGACCACAGGAAAAGGGUCAGGGUCCCCCACCCUACUCUGAAGGACAGGAUCCGAGAUGGUGAACGGGGCCCUGGCUGCCAGCUAAGCAGGCUGGGGUCUCUGUCCCCAGCCAGAUGCCUCCAUUCCACAAUCAGACUGCCCUCUGAUCCUGCCAGAGGUUCCCUGGUGCCGGCAGGGAGGUGUGUGGGUGAGGAGGGACCCCAAUCUUACUCACUCCUCAACACAUGAACCAUGGCAGGCCAGGACGGGGAGUCCACAGGCCUAGACCCAGGGCCACCUCUCCCACAGUGUGUGGCUUUGGGCAAGUUGUGCUCCCUCUGAGCCUGGGAUCCCCCUGUCCCCUCCCCUCCAUCAAAACAGGGGGCGGCAGCGGAGUGGAUGGCUUGGGGACCACAGCCGUUCCGAGGGAUGGCCAGGCUUCUGCACCCGCAAGCUUCCCCUGGACUGCCUCGCCAAUGCUUCUCUCCUCAGCCCCCAAUGCAGCCCAGAAAUGAAGACAAGCGGGUUCCGACAGGCACAGCACGCCCUCCUUGUCAGGGACAGUGGCUGGGGGACUCAGGGCCAUCCUACGCCAGGGCGGCCUCCUCGGUACUCGACCGUGUCCGCAGAGGCCUUCUUCCCAAAUAAGGCCACGCUCACGGGUUCGGUGGACGUGAACCUCGGGGGACCCUU
Molecule: long non-coding RNA, 5419 nt
Organism: Mirounga angustirostris (Northern elephant seal)
Lineage: Eukaryota; Metazoa; Chordata; Mammalia; Carnivora; Phocidae
Exons: 4
Source: RefSeq, a predicted model, not a curated record